UGGGGAAUAUUGGACAAUGGGCGAAAGCCUGAUCCAGCCAUGCCGCGUGUGUGAAGAAGGUCUUCGGAUUGUAAAGCACUUUAAGUUGGGAGGAAGGGCAGUAAGCGAAUACCUUGCUGUUUUGACGUUACCGACAGAAUAAGCACCGGCUAACUCUGUGCCAGCAGCCGCGGUAAUACAGAGGGUGCAAGCGUUGAUCGGAAUUACUGGGCGUAAAGCGCGCGUAGGUGGUUCGUUAAGUUGAAUGUGAAAGCCCCGGGCUCAACCUGGGAACUGCAACCAAAACUGGCGAGCUAGAGUAGGGCAGAGGGUGGUGGAAUUUCCUGUGUAGCGGUGAAAUGCGUAGAUAUAGGAAGGAACACCAGUGGCGAAGGCGACCACCUGGGCUCAUACUGACACUGAGGUGCGAAAGCGUGGGGAGCAAACAGG
RNAcentral lists this ribosomal RNA (429 nucleotides) under Pseudomonadota bacterium. RNAcentral's name for it is "Proteobacteria bacterium partial 16S ribosomal RNA". It matches the Rfam family "Bacterial small subunit ribosomal RNA", at positions 355 to 776 of the family's 1533-position model. Lineage: Bacteria; Pseudomonadati; Pseudomonadota. The record is from RNAcentral.